GAAAUGCGUAGAGAUCUGGAGGAAUACCGGUGGCGAAGGCGGCCCCCUGGACAAAGACUGACGCUCAGGUGCGAAAGCGUGGGGAGCAAACAGGAUUAGAUACCCUGGUAGUCCACGCCGUAAACGAUGUCGACUUGGAGGUUGUGCCCUUGAGGCGUGGCUUCCGGAGCUAACGCGUUAAGUCGACCGCCUGGGGAGUACGGCCGCAAGGUUAAAACUCAAAUGAAUUGACGGGGGCCCGCACAAGCGGUGGAGCAUGUGGUUUAAUUCGAUGCAACGCGAAGAACCUUACCUACUCUUGACAUCCA
RNAcentral lists this ribosomal RNA (308 nucleotides) under Citrobacter sp. wls708. RNAcentral's name for it is "bacterial SSU rRNA". It matches the Rfam family "Bacterial small subunit ribosomal RNA", at positions 683 to 990 of the family's 1533-position model. Lineage: Bacteria; Pseudomonadati; Pseudomonadota; Gammaproteobacteria; Enterobacterales; Enterobacteriaceae. The record is from RNAcentral.